Molecule: ribosomal RNA, 721 nt
Filed under: Salmonella enterica
Lineage: Bacteria; Pseudomonadati; Pseudomonadota; Gammaproteobacteria; Enterobacterales; Enterobacteriaceae
Description: partial 23S ribosomal RNA
Rfam family: Bacterial large subunit ribosomal RNA
Source: RNAcentral
AUACUCCUGACUGACCGAUAGUGAACCAGUACCGUGAGGGAAAGGCGAAAAGAACCCCGGCGAGGGGAGUGAAAAAGAACCUGAAACCGUGUACGUACAAGCAGUGGGAGCACAGGUUUACCUGUGUGACUGCGUACCUUUUGUAUAAUGGGUCAGCGACUUAUAUUCUGUAGCAAGGUUAACCGUAUAGGGGAGCCGGAGGGAAACCGAGUCUUAAUUGGGCGUUAAGUUGCAGGGUAUAGACCCGAAACCCGGUGAUCUAGCCAUGGGCAGGUUGAAGGUUGGGUAACACUAACUGGAGGACCGAACCGACUAAUGUUGAAAAAUUAGCGGAUGACCUGUGGCUGGGGGUGAAAGGCCAAUCAAACCGGGAGAUAGCUGGUUCUCCCCGAAAGCUAUUUAGGUAGCGCCUCGUGAAUUCAUCUCCGGGGGUAGAGCACUGUUUCGGCUAGGGGGCCAUCCCGGCUUACCAACCCGAUGCAAACUGCGAAUACCGGAGAAUGUUAUCACGGGAGACACACGGCGGGUGCUAACGUCCGUCGUGAAGAGGGAAACAACCCAGACCGCCAGCUAAGGUCCCAAAGUCAUGGUUAAGUGGGAAACGAUGUGGGAAGGCCCAGACAGCCAGGAUGUUGGCUUAGAAGCAGCCAUCAUUUAAAGAAAGCGUAAUAGCUCACUGGUCGAGUCGGCCUGCGCGGAAGAUGUAACGGGGCUAAACCAU